AAUCUUUACAGAUUUGCAAAAUACUACAAAAACAGUAAUGACAAAGACACCAGGACCCUCAUCAAGGGAUAUGGCAUUCGUUUUGAUGUUCUGGUUUAUGGUGAGGCAAAGAAAUUUGAUUUUCUAAAAACAAUUCUCCACAUGGGCGCACUCGUGUCACUUCUAAGACUGGUGGAUUGUUUGUUUGAUUUAUUGGCUUGGCUUUUAGUGAAAGGGUACAAAGAGAACAAAUUUAAAUAUCUGCAUGUAUAUGGGCCUACAUCCAAUGCAGCGCCUACUGAAAUGAAAGAUUCACAUUUUACUUCCCCCAUCACUACUUAUAGAUCUAUCAGUUGAUUCCAGGCUUUCAUUUAUCAAGAAUCAUGGUUAUAAUCUGUAUAAUAACUGUGAUUUUCUAUUGAUGUUUCUGUAAAAAAAUGCAUUGAAACAAAUGUACGUUACCUUUUAUUUUACUCAUUUUCUGUACAUUGUGAUUCAUUUUUAUGUGAUAGUCACAUUUAAUUGUGAAACUCAUGUAUUAUAUAAAUCCAGUGCACAAUAAAAUAAAUUCAAUGGAUGCACCUG
Long non-coding RNA from Carassius auratus (goldfish), 564 nucleotides. RefSeq lists it as uncharacterized. NCBI's taxonomy places the organism in Eukaryota, Metazoa, Chordata, Actinopteri, Cypriniformes, Cyprinidae. The record is from RefSeq and is a predicted model, not a curated record. The transcript has 4 exons.